RNAcentral lists this non-coding RNA (95 nucleotides) under Streptococcus sinensis. RNAcentral describes it as "PreQ1-II sequence". It matches the Rfam family "PreQ1-II (pre queuosine) riboswitch aptamer". Rfam says of the family: Q is a hyper modified nucleoside present in some anticodons in tRNAs (Try, Asn, Asp and His). The record is from RNAcentral. Lineage: Bacteria; Bacillati; Bacillota; Bacilli; Lactobacillales; Streptococcaceae.
CAUUUCUUACUGUUAGUGAUGGAUACAGCCCUUGACGCUUAGCUUCUUUCGUCAAGCAUAUUUUAAGCGGGAAAACCGCUAAAGGAGAAAAAAUG